ACUACUGUGGUGAAACGGUAAACACAUUAGAUUUAAAAUUUAAUAGCAUACGCUUUAUGAGUUCGAAUCUCAUCUGUAGUA
Molecule: transfer RNA, 81 nt
Filed under: Ectyoplasia ferox (brown encrusting octopus sponge)
Lineage: Eukaryota; Metazoa; Porifera; Demospongiae; Axinellida; Raspailiidae
Description: tRNA-Leu
Rfam family: tRNA
About the family: Transfer RNA (tRNA) molecules are approximately 80 nucleotides in length. Their secondary structure includes four short double-helical elements and three loops (D, anti-codon, and T loops).
Source: RNAcentral